AAUACUGUUUGAUCCUGGCUCAGAUUGAACGCUGGCGGCAGGCCUAACACAUGCAAGUCGAACGGUAACAGGAAGCAGCUUGCUGCUUUGCUGACGAGUGGCGGACGGGUGAGUAAUGUCUGGGAAACUGCCCGAUGGAGGGGGAUAACUACUGGAAACGGUAGCUAAUACCGCAUAAUGUCGCAAGACCAAAGAGGGGGACCUUCGGGCCUCUUGCCAUCGGAUGUGCCCAGAUGGGAUUAGCUAGUUGGUGAGGUAACGGCUCACCAAGGCGACGAUCCCUAGCUGGUCUGAGAGGAUGACCAGCCACACUGGAACUGAGACACGGUCCAGACUCCUACGGGAGGCAGCAGUGGGGAAUAUUGCACAAUGGGCGCAAGCCUGAUGCAGCCAUGCCGCGUGUAUGAAGAAGGCCUUCGGGUUGUAAAGUACUUUCAGCGGGGAGGAAGGGGUUAAGGUUAAUAACCUUAGCCAUUGACGUUACCCGCAGAAGAAGCACCGGCUAACUCCGUGCCAGCAGCCGCGGUAAUACGGAGGGUGCAAGCGUUAAUCGGAAUUACUGGGCGUAAAGCGCACGCAGGCGGUCUGUCAAGUCGGAUGUGAAAUCCCCGGGCUCAACCUGGGAACUGCAUUCGAAAC
RNAcentral lists this ribosomal RNA (639 nucleotides) under Citrobacter sp. enrichment culture clone B5b. RNAcentral describes it as "bacterial SSU rRNA". It matches the Rfam family "Bacterial small subunit ribosomal RNA", at positions 1 to 633 of the family's 1533-position model. The record is from RNAcentral. Lineage: Bacteria; Pseudomonadati; Pseudomonadota; Gammaproteobacteria; Enterobacterales; Enterobacteriaceae.